Molecule: transfer RNA, 71 nt
Filed under: Galaxias maculatus (cowfish)
Lineage: Eukaryota; Metazoa; Chordata; Actinopteri; Galaxiiformes; Galaxiidae
Description: tRNA-Tyr
Rfam family: tRNA
About the family: Transfer RNA (tRNA) molecules are approximately 80 nucleotides in length. Their secondary structure includes four short double-helical elements and three loops (D, anti-codon, and T loops). Further hydrogen bonds mediate the characteristic L-shaped molecular structure. tRNAs have two regions of fundamental functional importance: the anti-codon, which is responsible for specific mRNA codon recognition, and the 3' end, to which the tRNAs corresponding amino acid is attached (by aminoacyl-tRNA synthetases). tRNAs cope with the degeneracy of the genetic code in two manners: having more than one tRNA (with a specific anti-codon) for a particular amino acid; and 'wobble' base-pairing, i.e. permitting non-standard base-pairing at the 3rd anti-codon position.
Source: RNAcentral
GGUAAGGUGGCUGAAGGCCCAAGCGGUGGAUUGUAGCCCCAUAUAUGGAGGUUUAAGUCCUCCCCUUAUCA